ANCAGGAUUAGAUACCCUGGUAGUNCACGCCGUAAACGAUGAGUGCUAGGUGUUGGGUCCUUUCCGGGACUCAGUGCCGCAGCUAACGCAUUAAGCACUCCGCCUGGGGAGUACGACCGCAAGGUUGAAACUCAAAGGAAUUGACGGGGGCCCGCACAAGCGGUGGAGCAUGUGGUUUAAUUCGAAGCAACGCGAAGAACCUUACCAGGUCUUGACAUCCCGGUGCCCGUCCUAGAGAUAGGAUUUUGCUUCGGCACACCGGUGACAGGUGGUGCAUGGUUGUCGUCAGCUCGUGUCGUGAGAUGUUGGGUUAAGUCCCGCAACGAGCGCAACCCUUGUUGUUAGUUGCCAUCAUUAAGUUGGGCACUCUAGCGAGACUGCCGGUAAUAAACCGGAGGAAGGUGGGGAUGACGUCAAAUCAUCAUGCCCCUUAUGACCUGGGCUACACACGUGCUACAAUGGCUGGUACAACGAGUCGCAAGUCGGUGACGGCAAGCUAAUCUCUUAAAGCCAGUCUCAGUUCGGAUCGUAGGCUGCAACUCGCCUACAUGAAGUCGGAAUCGCUAGUAAUCGCGGAUCAGCACGCCGCGGUGAAUACGUUCCCGGGCCUUGUACACACCGCCCGUCACACCACGAGAGUUUGUAACACCCGAAGUCGGUGAGGUAAC
Molecule: ribosomal RNA, 668 nt
Filed under: uncultured bacterium
Lineage: Bacteria
Description: bacterial SSU rRNA
Rfam family: Bacterial small subunit ribosomal RNA
Source: RNAcentral